UGCCCUUUAAGUAUCUUGGCCUGAAGUGGAAGGAGAUAAACAGGGAACUGAAAAGUAGAUGGUAAUCUGGCAGGAAAAAGAUAAUUUGGAUCGUAUUUCUUACACACCUUUUCCCCUCAUGGCCUCCUGACAAUACACACCACCAGUUGCUACCUCGACUUUGGACCCAGUACACGCAUGGCACUUAAAGACCACUAUAGUCAACAUAUAAAAGCAAGAAAGACAGGUCCCCUAGCCUUGAUUUUAUAUUAAUUUCCCCUUAAUAAAAAAGAGUCCUUAUUAUAGCUAAAACUUACCUCUGUUCCAGCACAGAGCUCCUCGGCAGGCUAUACCCCCGUUUUUGUCAAAAUGACGAAAUAGCAGGGCUCAGACGCUUCUCUUGGAGAAGAGCCAUAGUGAUCUGGUGUGCAUGCGCAGCUU
Non-coding RNA from Pelobates cultripes (western spadefoot toad), 420 nucleotides. The record is from the annotation of a GenBank genome assembly. NCBI's taxonomy places the organism in Eukaryota, Metazoa, Chordata, Amphibia, Anura, Pelobatidae.